This 267-nucleotide ribosomal RNA is filed under the name uncultured bacterium. RNAcentral's name for it is "partial 16S ribosomal RNA". It matches the Rfam family "Bacterial small subunit ribosomal RNA", at positions 793 to 1055 of the family's 1533-position model. The record is from RNAcentral.
GUCCACGCUGUAAACGAUGAGUGCUAGUUGUUGGGAAGUUUACUUCUCAGUGACGAAGCUAACGCGAUAAGCACUCCGCCUGGGGAGUACGGCCGCAAGGUUAAAACUCAAAGGAAUUGACGGGGGCCCCGCACAAGCGGUGGAGCAUGUGGUUUAAUUCGACGCAACGCGAAGAACCUUACCAACCCUUGACAUGUGUAUCGCGGAAACCAGAGACGGUUUCCUUCAGUUCGGCUGGAUACAACACAGGUGCUGCAUGGCUGUCGU